Molecule: unclassified non-coding RNA, 380 nt
Filed under: uncultured Chlamydiales bacterium
Lineage: Bacteria; Pseudomonadati; Chlamydiota; Chlamydiia; Chlamydiales
Description: contains 16S-23S intergenic spacer region
Source: RNAcentral
UCCCGGUUAACCCGGGCAGUCUCGCUAGAGUGCCCGCCAUUACGCGCUGGCAACUAACGACAAGGGUUGCGCUCGUUGCGGGACUUAACCCAACACCUCACGGCACGAGCUGACGACAGCCAUGCAGCACCUGUGCAGGCGUCCAUUGCUGGACGUAUACAUCUCUGCAUACUUCACCUGCAUGUCAAACCCAGGUAAGGUUCUUCGCGUUGCAUCGAAUUAAACCACAUGAUCCACUGCUUGUGCGGGUCCCCGUCAAUUCUUUUGAGUUUCACCCUUGCGAGUGUACUUCUCAGGCGGUAUACUUAUCGCGUUAGCUUCGACACAGUCGGGGUUGAGUCCGACUACGCCAAGUAUACAUCGUUUAAGGCAAGGACUAC